UCUCCCGUGAGGGAGCAGUCUCGCCUGAAAAUUAACAGGCAACGGGGGUUGCGUUCGUUACCCCACUGAAGGGAACAGUUCAAACCACGAACUGACGACGACCAUGCAUCACCUGUCCAGCACCCUCGAAGGCUCCAUCCCUUUCGGGUUGGAUGCAGCUGGAUUUCUAAUCUUGGUAAGGUUCUUCGCUUGUCGACGAAUUAAGCCACAUGAUCCACCGCUUGUGCGAGUCCCCGUCUAUUCCUUUGAGUUUUAAGCUUGCGCUCGUACUACCCAGGCGGCUCGCUUACCGCGUUAGCUUAGUCCCGCAGAGGGUCGAUACUCCGCAGAACGAGCGAGCAGCGUUUAGGGCCAGGACUAC
RNAcentral lists this unclassified non-coding RNA (361 nucleotides) under uncultured bacterium. Its description in RNAcentral is "contains 16S-23S intergenic spacer region". The record is from RNAcentral.